AGCUGCCGGUUAUUCCUUCUCUAAUCGUCGUUCAUCUGUUAGAUUCUCUCAGUUUAAAGGCCUUAAGAUCCAGUCAACUCGAUCAUCCAUAUCCACUACCUCUUCAUCCAAAAUCGUUCCCCGUGGUGGACGCAUCGUUUGCGAAGCUCAGAAUACCGCCGUCGAAGGUAUUUUAUAAGCACUAAGUAGUGUAUUUGUUAUUGAAAUACUCUGUUCAUUCACUUUUACUUGUUAUAUUUAACUUUUCGAGAUAUAUUUUGAGAUAUACUUUUAAUGACAUAAUACAAUAAAUGUGCCAAUUUACUUGACCUCAACUGGCAUCUCUGCCUUUUAACUUUGGAUGUGCACAAAUAAACACUUAAAACUGUUAGUUCUCUCAGUUUAAAGUCCUUAAGAUCCGGUCUACUCGCUCAUCCGUAUCCACUACCUCUUCCUCCAAAAUCAUUCCCCGUGGUGGACGCAUCGUUUGCGAAGCUUAGAAUACCGCCGUCGAAGGUAUUUUAUAGGUAACUAAGUAGUAUUUGUUACUUCUGUUAUGUUGAGAGGAAGAGUAAUACUCUGUUCAUUUAUUUGUUACUUAUUACAUCUCGCUUUUCGAGAGUUAAAUGGAAUGAACUUUGAUCAAUAUGUUAAGAUAUAAUACAAUAAACGUGCCAAUUUACUUGACCUCAACUGACGUCUACGCCUUUUAACUUUGGAUGUGCACAAAUAAACACUUAAAACUGUUAGAUUCUCUCAGUUUAAAGGCCUUAAGAUCCGGUCUACUCGCUCAUCCGUAUCCACUACCUCUUCCUCCAAAAUCAUUCCCCAUGGUGGACGCAUCGUUUGCGAAGCUUAGAAUACCGCCGUCAAAGGUAUUUUAUAGGUAACUAAGUAGUAUUUGUUACUUCUGUCAUGUUGAGAGGAGUAAUACUGUGUUCAUUCACUUUUACU
RNAcentral lists this long non-coding RNA (933 nucleotides) under Capsicum annuum. Its description in RNAcentral is "long non-coding RNA (CANN_LNC012165)". The record is from RNAcentral. Lineage: Eukaryota; Viridiplantae; Streptophyta; Magnoliopsida; Solanales; Solanaceae.